Molecule: RNA transcript, 2128 nt
Organism: Hibiscus syriacus
Lineage: Eukaryota; Viridiplantae; Streptophyta; Magnoliopsida; Malvales; Malvaceae
Gene name: phosphatidylinositol glycan anchor biosynthesis class U protein-like
Exons: 13
Source: RefSeq, a predicted model, not a curated record
UAUUCCUAAUCAAUGGCGGAUCUAAACCACGCUUUCACUGAGAUCGGGCAAUUCCCAGUACCUUUGUCGUGAUUUUUCACCUUCGAGAUUCGAGCCCAGUUCUCUAUUCACGCUCAAACUCAAUCUAUCUUCGAGGAGGAAGAAGAAAAAAAUCCAGAGAAAUGGAAAAGCUGAAGAAGAAAAUAGGAUCGAUUUCGUUUUGGAAAUGGGUGAUAGCUUCAAUCAUCUUCAGAUUGAUUCUAAUUUACUUCCCCAAAAAUCUCAAUCUGUCCUCUCGUCCCGAAGUUUCCACUCCGCUCACCAGCUUCCGCCGCUUGGCUGAAGGUUACUGGUUAAAGCAGUCGUCUAUGUCUCCUUAUGCAGGAUCUAUGUACCAUGGUACACCUUUGUUAUUGUCACUUCUCGGACCUCUUACCGUUAAGAGAAUUGAAGGACAGCCUAAUCAUCUUUUGUACAGUUUGGUUUCUGUGAUUGCAGAUGUUGUUAGUGCAAUGCUUAUUCGUGCUAACGGACAGAAUCUUCAGCUUGCCUAUCUCCGUACUUUGGGAUCGUUAGACCUUGUUAAACAAAUAGAAGGUUCAGAGCUCCACUCUUCGGGGGACGUUGCUGCCCUUAUCUACUUAUGUAAUCCUUUCACAAUAGUUGCAUGCGUGGGCUUGUCAACAUCGCCAAUUGAAAAUAUGGUUGUUAUUUUGUGCCUUUAUGGAGCAUGUUCACGACUAAUUCCCUUGGCCGCUUUUGGGUGGGUCAUUGCAACUCAUUUGUCUCUUUAUCCUGCUAUUUUGAUCAUUCCGGUGAUCUUUCUAUUAGGACGUGGUCCAGAUGCUCCUCCUAGGAAAUUGUUUCUGCAAAGGCACCAACAAAAAGGAAGGUUGAAUCAGUCGAAGCUCCCUCCUGGCUUCUCCUGGGGACCCAUCAUUCGUUUUGCAUUUUGGUCUCUCGUCUGGUCAGUCUAUAUGCUGGUUCUUUGUGGCAUUUCCUUGAAACAGUUUGAUGGUUUAUGGGAGAUGUUUAAAAGUACAUAUGGAUUCAUCCUCACUGUGGAAGAUUUGUCUCCAAAUAUAGGUGUCUUACGGUACAUCUUUGCGGAAGUUUUUGAAUUUUUCAGGAACUUCUUUUUGAUAGUUUUCCAUUUCAAUAUUUUAUUUAUGAUAUUGCCAUUAGCCAUACGGCUUCAUCACCGACCCUGUUACUUGGCUUUUGUAUACUUUGCCAUAUGUUCCAUGCUGAAGUCCUAUCCAUCAGUUGGAGAUUCAGCACUGUACUUGGGUUUGUUGGGUUGGUUUGUUAACGAAUUAUCAGACAAGUUAAUGGAAUCUUUUUCCGAUAUUGAAUGGUGUUUAUAAUUGUUUCAUAUUUUAAGCGUUAUUUCUGCCUUACAGAUAUGCAGUUCUCUCUCUUCUUCUUCUGCGGAUAUGUCGGGGUUUCUCUUCUCAGCCCUGUCAUGCACAACCUAUGGAUAUGGAUCUCUUCCUUUUUUAAUGUGCAAUGAGUAGAAGUCCAUUAUUCUUUAGUACCUAUGCUCCGACUCUUCAUUUCUUUUUGUGAAGUAUCCAUGUUCAAAACCUGUGUCCGACGUAUAUUCAGACGUGUGUGGGGGUGUGGGGAUAUGAGCUUCCAAGGACUCUCCAAAUACAUGGAAAAACUUCUAAAAUAUGAAUAUACCCAUAUUGGACAUGGCACUGGCAAUGCAAACUUCUACUUUGCAACAGCUAUGGUUUAUGCUUCCUUGCAGAUUGUCUUGGUUGUCGAGGGUGUGAGUGCCAUGUUAAACCAUGACAGAAAGUUGAGACGCCUAAUCACUGGCAAGCCCCAAGACGCCAAAUCCUGAGUUCUUUCCGAUUCUUCACCUUAACUCAGCACUGCUAGAAAGAUCCUUCUCGUCAGGUUACUGCCACCAUAUCUUUGCUCUCACCACUCUUGCAUUGUAUCAAGAUCAUGCUUACCUUCACUGCAUGGAAUUUGUCGGAAAUGAUCGUUCACUCAAUGUUUGUUUCGCAUGAAUGGUUUCCGGUAACCUAAAAGUUCCGGAGAAUCUUCCAUCACCAUUGAAGUUGUCAAAAAUACAUUCAAAAUUCUUGUCAAAACCUUCAAGUUUUCAAUAGAAAGUAUAGGCUUUUUCACAUUU